UUUUAUAAAAGGCAAGAGUUCUAGCUUACCAGAAUUCACACAAUCCAGGGCGGCAUAACAAGGACACACACUAUCUCCACUUCAAACCAGCGCACAAAAAAAAUAAUAUUCACAAAUAUUCUUUUGAACCAUGCAGGAGAACUGCACGUAAACUUAAUUUGUAGAGAAGAAAGAUACCAAGCCCAUGUCCGGAAUACAUAACAUAAACCCCAAUGAAAACAGAGCCUAAACAUAAAACACGCAUAACUACCCACAUAAUUCGGCACAUCCUUUCUCUCCUGCCAUCACCCACAACUUUAGAUCAGGGAGAAUGAGCCAACGAAAAAGUCCCCGAGUUGCGACAGCUCUUCCAGCUUGGACGUUUCCACAAAGUCGCGGCAGCCCCAUUCCAGGCAAUCUAACGGCGAGAAGACGAGCUUCGCGGGACCGCAGCUGUCUAGGUUUACCUGGCUCCUUUUCUCUAGGAUGCUGUGAACUUGGCGAUCACCUCCCGAUCCGGAUCCAUGCCUUCUUCGUGGCUGUACCAGCGCACAAACGCUGAGGCGUGCCGUCACAGUCAUCGUCGACCUCGUCUGGGUAGAAUUUGAUCUUCCACUUGGACCUGCCGACUUCGACGUCGGGCCAACUAACGUACUCGCCGACACCCAUGCCAGCGAGCCGCAGGUAAUCGGUCACCUCGAAAUUGAACGUCCGGGUUUGCUCCCAGGCCGUGACACGUCUCCACGUGAUCUCCAGAGAGGUCGAGCUGCUGUCAGGCAUGGCCGGCGGCAGUGGAGAACAACAAGACCGGGGAGUUGAUUUGGUCUCUCUUGAAUGAAUACUACUAAGACAAGAGAACCGAGUUUCCACCCACGUACAUACCGUACGUACCCUAGACUCCUUAUCUUAUAUUGAAAGGAGGGAUUCCAAGAAAAGAGUGAAUCAAGUAGUAGUCCCGAUGGACACAACACUGUACAUAUAUCAGAUGGCAUGGAAUGUGGCCAUGACUAAUGAAGAAAGUGGACUUGGACUACAAUCGGAUGUUGCUUUCCUGAGUAAGACUUGAUUGGAUUUGGUGGACUCCAAUGUCUCAAAAUAAACAACAUAGGCCAUAAAAUUACUUCCUAACUGACAUGCAUAUCAACGUGUUGGCCAACACGCUUAUGCAGCUCCAUCGUUUUUGAUAUGCAGCCACGGU
This 1177-nucleotide long non-coding RNA is filed under the name Hordeum vulgare. Its description in RNAcentral is "long non-coding RNA (HVUL_LNC000241)". The record is from RNAcentral. Lineage: Eukaryota; Viridiplantae; Streptophyta; Magnoliopsida; Poales; Poaceae.